Molecule: long non-coding RNA, 666 nt
Organism: Priapulus caudatus
Lineage: Eukaryota; Metazoa; Priapulida; Priapulimorpha; Priapulimorphida; Priapulidae
Exons: 2
Source: RefSeq, a predicted model, not a curated record
UUCAGUGGUUAUACUUAUAGCAUUAAUUAUACUGUUUGUGGCUUAAGUGCUAUUUGCACACGUAUCUGUUGUACACGAAGCUGGACCCACUAUGACGAUCACACGUGGCUAUCACACGAGCUCACGAGCUUCUCUAUACUGGCGCCGUGACAAACAGCAGAUUGCUAAACAGUAUAUAUAGUGCUUAACCAUGUGUUUUACUCCUAGAUCUUAACCACUCCACUUCAAUGCCACAGCGUGCUGAUCUACGGCUGCCAAAUUCUCAUCAUGAGUAAUGAUGGCGAUCUAUCUAUCAUCGCGGAAGCGGAUUCAACGGUAGAAGACCCCCCCACUGACGAUGACACACCCGAGUUCCCCGACCUCGCUGAGGCCGACGAACAUUUAUUUGCAGCGCUCAUGGCCUACAUCCGGGAGCCAGAGCCAGAGCUUCCGGAAAUGUACCAUGGCGCUGGGGGCGGCCCACGACCUUCGCCACCCCCAAACAUUUUUAACGUUGCCGACGACGACUUCCAAUGCGACGAUUGGGACGAUUAUUACAACCAGCUCGAUUGGUUCGAGGCAAUCCAUCCCGGAUGGACGAUUGUCGAUGACAACAUCGUUAGAAAAAAAAAAUUAAAAAAAAUGUGAUGAAUACUAAUAAAAAAAAUACCGAGAUGACAAACAAAA